Molecule: long non-coding RNA, 267 nt
Filed under: Elaeis guineensis (African oil palm)
Lineage: Eukaryota; Viridiplantae; Streptophyta; Magnoliopsida; Arecales; Arecaceae
Description: long non-coding RNA (EGUI_LNC036212)
Source: RNAcentral
UGAAUCUUGUUAGCAUUAACCCAAACCCCUAAUUAUGGCCUAUCAAACAAUUCUCACAUAGGUUAGUCCUCGAAGGUUAUUUGUGGCCUAAUAUCCUACAUAUUUUUUUUUCUCAAACUCAUUAAGAGUAUAACUCAAUCUUUUUAAUUUUAUUUUAUCACUGAUAAGAGCACUCAUCAUAGGGAUGUGAAGAGAUACACUCCAGUAAUGUGUUCUAAUAUGAUUACUCAAUUAAUUUCAUUUCUACUACAUUAAAUCUCAUUCAUA